CGAGCACGCGCGUGUGGCAUAUCAAUAAGCGGAGGAAAAGAAACUAACAAGGAUUCCCUUAGUAACGGCGAGUGAAGCGGGAAGAGCUCAAAUUUGAAAUCUUCAAGGUUCUACCUUGACGAAUUGUAGUUUAUAGAAGUGUUUUCUGUUAGUAGAGUGGCAAAAGUUCUUUGGAAUAGGACAUCAUAGAGGGUGAGAAUCCCGUAUUUGACCAUUAUUCCCUAGCUGUGUGAUACACUUUCAAAGAGUCGGAUUGUUUGGGAAUGCAGUCCAAAAUGGGUGGUAAAUUUCAUCUAAAGCUAAAUAUUGGCGAGAGACCGAUAGCGAACAAGUACCGUGAGGGAAAGAUGAAAAGAACUUUGAAAAGAGAGUUAAACAGUACGUGAAAUUGUCAAAAGGGAAGCGUUUGACACCAGUGUUGUUUUUCCGAAAAUCAAUUACGAAUGUUUUGUUUUUGAGGAGUUAUGACUUCAUCGGCUUGCUUCUCUCUUUACGAAACUUUCUUAAUGCACUUUUCGGUUAACAAGUCAACAUCAAUUUCUUUUGUUGUAAAAGGGUAUGAGGAAGGUGGCUUUCUUUUCGGAGAAAGUGUUUAUAGCCUUGUACCUCUGCAAUCGGAGAGAUUGAGGUCUGCAGCGUAAAUCCUUCGGGGUUAGAUACAUUUGUGCUAAGUUAUAGCUUUUCAUAGACAACUUGUUGACUAUGUUAGUCUUGUAGCUUACUCGCUUAUGCUAUUUUACCUACGCUUAGGAUGUUGAUGUGAUACUGCGAGCA
This 774-nucleotide ribosomal RNA is filed under the name uncultured Neocallimastigales. Its description in RNAcentral is "partial large subunit ribosomal RNA". It matches the Rfam family "Eukaryotic large subunit ribosomal RNA", at positions 19 to 646 of the family's 3401-position model. Lineage: Eukaryota; Fungi; Neocallimastigomycota; Neocallimastigomycetes; Neocallimastigales. The record is from RNAcentral.